CACACACAAUGGUGACAGGGCGUGGAGAAACGUCAAGCUGGAACUGACCAGGAAGCUUCCUCCCACUGCUGUUCUUAUUAUACUAGAAGGUGCUGUGCGUGAUGCUGGUGGGGGUAGAAAAUCACCAUCAGCCCUCCUCAGCUGUGAACCAACACGUUGAGGCUCCUCUUCCC
This 173-nucleotide long non-coding RNA is filed under the name Cricetulus griseus (Chinese hamster). RNAcentral's name for it is "lncRNA (ENSCGRG00000024251.1)". Lineage: Eukaryota; Metazoa; Chordata; Mammalia; Rodentia; Cricetidae. The record is from RNAcentral.